Equus asinus (donkey) is the source of this 1637-nucleotide long non-coding RNA. Lineage: Eukaryota; Metazoa; Chordata; Mammalia; Perissodactyla; Equidae. The record is from Ensembl.
GAGUUCCACGGGCUCUUAGUGCAUUAAUAAGCUUGAUCUUUUUAUUCAAAUACAAGGAGCAACCACAGCCGGCUCCAGGUCACGUGUCCUGAUCACAUGGUGCUCAGACGCCGAAACCGGCUGGCGAUCAUUAACUAGUGCUUACUCCCGGGAGAGAAUGCAGGUUUUAAAGAGACGAACUCUUAUUUUUAUAAAACAGCCAGGACUGCAAUAGAAGUUUUGCUCUCCCCUAGGACUUGACAAAGUUGCCCCGCGGAGCCCCGGUUUCCAGGCCUGCAGGAGCGGCGGGCUGCAGCAUCCUGGACUCGGAGCGGAGGGAGGGGGGGGCGGGCGCGUUUGGCGCUGCGCCCUCGCGCCUGGGAAAUGGAGGACGGAUUUCUGAAGUUAGCGGAAAGCCACGUUUUCUUUCCCUUAUGAAAUUCCUGCUUCUGGGUCGAUGGAGUCCGGUAGGGGUGUGUUUUGUUUCGCAUUAUACGAAGAAUACUUUCCAAAAACACUGUGCAAAAUGGCCUCAGCCUUACAGGAAAAACCACCCGUGAUGGUCUGCAGCCUUAUAUCCUAUUUCAUUGAACUGUUUUCGGAAACAAUAAAUAUGUAAAGAAUUUCCAGUGUUCUACGUUCACUGUAUCACUGAAAUAUAUGUAUUUCAGGAAAUUUCCCUAGUGAGGGAGUUUGCUUGUCUCUGUUCUUUCCCCUGCUCUGCCUCUUCAAAACGAUGACAGUCUGUGACCUAAAGGAUGGAUCCAGAUCUUUUGAAGAGAAUGUAAAAUUUAUAUAUACAAAAUUUGAUAUUAAAGUAUCACAAAAUUCAGAAAAAAUACUUAUUAUUUAACACACCUCUAAAAUCCUUUUUAUCCUGCAUUUUGGAGGGCGUGUUCUUGGAGGGGCUCAUAUUCUUGAAAGGAGAGAACUUUAAUCUUGACCAGCUGUCAAUUUUAAGUGUGCCUACCAUUGUACAAAUUUAAUGAUUAGAAAAAUUUUCCCCGGACCAGCUUCUGACUAGUCUGUUCUGGCUUUGUCUGUUCCACAUCUUGUCUCUCCUCCCCCAGCCCACAGUAUCUCUGGGGCUGACGCUGCAGGACACACUCGUGUUGUAAUGUGACCUCUGGAUCUGAGCCUACACAUCUCCGUGCUGGGUAAUUGUGUCAACCUCCUGCCUGGUCGAAUGAUUCUGGAAACAGUAUAGCAAGCAUCCACUUUAGAAUCUCCUUCUAGCUCUUUCUGGGAAGUACAGAUGCCCUCUCCCUGAGAACUUCUAUGGUCGUCAUCAAAGUUGUGCUCUCCAGAGAAAGCUCAGCUCACCACCAGUGACCCAUCAGGGUUCUUGGCCUCAGAUGAGGGACCGGAGGCAGCGAGGGUCAUUCUGUUUCCCGUGGUUGUGUGGCUGGUAGGAGUUGGAGCUAGAAGUCAAGCCCAGGUCUGUCUGAUUUCUGUCCUUCCUCCUGUCCCAAGCUCACAGCCUGUCAGUGCUCUCCGUCCUGUCCCCUCCUGGCUCAUCAAGAAGCUUGCUCCAUUUGUUACCCUUCCUCUCUUUGUCUCUUCCACUUUCCCUCUCUCCUUGCUUCUUUCCAUCAAGGUGAUCAAACCAAAACAAGGGUCUCAACUACUGUAUGAAGUUGAAGUUUUUCAAAUGUUUG